This 220-nucleotide long non-coding RNA is filed under the name Gallus gallus (chicken). The record is from RNAcentral. Lineage: Eukaryota; Metazoa; Chordata; Aves; Galliformes; Phasianidae.
UUUCUUUUCUUUUCUUUUCUUUUCUUUUCUUUUCUUUUCUUUUCUUUUCUUUUCUUUUCUUUUCUUUUUUUUUUUUUUUUUUUUUUUUUUUUUUUUUUUUUUUUUUUUUUUUUUUUUUUUUUUUUUUUUUUUUUUUUUUUUUUUUUUUUUUUUUUUUUUUUUUUUUUUUUUUUUUUUUUUUUUUUUUUUUUUUUUUUUUUUCUUUUUUUUUUUUUUUUUU